AUACGGCCUAGGAGCGGGAGGUGCGGCCUAGGAACUCCUAAGUGCAAGCAUGCAAUGGCCGACCUCCAGCAGCACCGCAGACGCCAGCCCAAGAAUUAUCGCCCCCAGAAAGAUGCUCUUGAAGAAUACGACGACGACGAACUCAUCAGAAGGUUUCGCCUGGACCGUGCGGGAAUUCUUUUUGUCACCGAGAUGGUGCGAGACGUCCUGCAGAGCCCCACGAGGAGGAGCCAUGCCCUCACGCCAGAGAUGAGUCUUGAUUCUCCUCAGGUAUUUGGCAACAGGCAAAAUGCAACUCUGCAGCAGUGAAGAGCUGGACCAUCACAGCAGACAGUUAGCAGAGUUAUCUCUGAAACACUGGCAGCCUUCAACACACCACACAUCAUGAGAAGAUAUCUUACAUUCCCAACAGAGAAUGAAGUGAUGCAACAGAACAAAGCAGAAUUUAUGGAAAUUGCAAACUUUCCGGGUCUGGUGGGUGUGAUAGACUGCACUCACAUAAGAAUAACUGCACCAAAAGAGUUUCCAGACGAGUAUAUCAACUGGAAGGGAUAUCACAGCAUCAAUGUACAGAUUGUCUUCAAUGCAAGAUGUGAAGUCAUCAGCUGUUUGGCUAAGUGGCCAGGAUCCGUACGUGAUUCAGGGAUCCUCAAUGAAAGUGGGCUUAAGCAGUGUUUUGACGCUGGUAUAAUCCCACGUGGAUGCUCACUGCUAGGAGACCAUGGGUAUCCCUGUAAACCUUGGCUGCUGACACCUUAUCUUAAUCCCCAGCCAGGACCACAAGCAAAUUACAAUAUAGCACACUCAAAGACCAGGAAUGUUGUGGAGAGGGGAAUUGACCAGCUGAAACGAAGAUUUCCAGUCCUCCACACUGAAAUAAGGGUCAGUCCACCACUGAAGGUGUGCCAGAUUGUCUAUGUAUGUGCAGUGCUGCACAACAUUUGCAAGAGGCGCAAUGUUCCUCUUGAUGAUGAGCAUCUGGAUAAUCAAAAUGCUGUCCCAGAUCAUGAUGUUGGGGCAAUAGCACCAGCAGCUUGGGGACAAGACAAUGCACGAACCUUCAGGGACCACUUUGCUGCAACUCACUUCAGACUGCAGUAAUGUUCAAAAGACAUUGAAGACAGAGCUUCCAGGUCGUCCCAGAACACUGAUGCUUGGGCUCUUCUAGCGUUGCCCUCCCGGCAGCAACAAGGCCAGCACCAUGGGACUUCUCGGGUGAUGGCCCCAACACAAUGCAGGUGUCAUCAGAGCUGUGACAGAGAGAUAAAAAUGUUGAGUGUCUUAUUAUGGCUAUCUGUGAUGUGUUAGUUAAUAGAUUCUGCACCUUUCUAGUCACAAAUUUUGCUAGUCCCUCUAACCACUAUUUGGUACUUGUCUGAAUGUAAGGCAAAACUCUGACCCUACACUGAGUGCUGGAAAUCUCGCAUGCCUGCAAUGCUCAUCGAUUGAAAGAUGCCCACUUUUCCUUAUUCUUACUCUAGCUUUCUUAUUUGCACCCCUCACUCCACCUCCUCCUCCUUUUCUUCACCUUUGCCACUCUGCCACAUCAGUCCCAACUCAUCUCUCUCUUUGUCUCGUCAUUCAUUAACUUUUGAAUGCAUUUCAGAAUAUCUGUAUAGAUUUAAUUCUCUUAAGAUGAUAAUAGUGGUAUGCAUACUACAACACACAACAAUGAAGAUCUACAGUUUCACCCUUAAGAGGAGUUGCUUGAACAGCCAUAACCACCAACGUUAGCAGAAUGACAUACAGCAGCAGAGAGAGGAAUGAUGAGGGAGAGAGAGAGAGAGAGAGGUCAGGUAGAUUAUAGUAACUAUGAUAUGUGUCACUCCCCUUUUUUUCAGUGUGCACCAGUCUCCCCCAAUCCUUUGAUGGUUGUCCAGCAAAUGUUCUGUUAUCCAUCCCGAGCACUAGCAGGCUUUGCUUUGACUGCUUUUGACUGUGCUUUGAGUGGGUGUCAGGGGUGUUGGUGGCCCGCCUCCUGGAAUUAAAUCAUUUAUGUAUUAGGGUGUGUGAUGUUACAUUACUAACAGUGGUCACACCUAAGCUAACACAUUCUGACAAAUUUCCUGCCGAUAAAAUGCAGGGUGUUGUGUAACUUACUGUGAUUCCAGUUAUGUAUUAUUAUUCCAGGGUAUGAUUGGUAUUAUCAACAUGGGAAUAUCUCAUCCUUUACUCAACCAAUUGCUCUUCUGUUGUCAUACAUUUAUUAAACUAACAUCUCAGACCUCACAGAAAAUUGUAGGAAAGAGUGUAAAGAUCAAAACAAGUUUAGAUAUAGCCAUGAAAUGUGUGUGGGAGACUGCAUGGCCACAGGCGGCCAAUGCAACAAUGUGUGGAAGCAUUCUUAUUGGGUUUUUAUUGUGGUGAGUUGUGAGUUGUGCCUGCCACAGGACGCUGUGGGUUAUUAAGCCACCUAAGGACGUGCGGGUUCCCACAAACAUAUCACGGCUAUUUUAGUAUUUGUUUGAUCUUUUCACUGUUUCCCAGGAAUUCACAGGAGGUUUGAAGAUAAUAGAAUUCAUGUAUGACUUGUGAAAAGAUUAAGUUGGGUAAGUAGGAGGAAAUCUGCACGUUAAUAAUACCAAACUAUUUAUGCAUCUCUGGGCCAUCACCGCGGCUGUCCUGACGUACUAAAAGCUACUAAAAUGAAAAAACAUAUAGGUGCUACAAGGACUCUAACUGCUAAUAUGAACUUCAAGCGUGGGAUUUUCUAGCACAGCAGGCUCACCUGGUUGGCCCAUCCAUUUAACAGCACGACAAGAAUAUACAGUGGAAAAGGUCAGAUGGGCAAAAAAACUGCUGGCAGCCUGCAAGUUGAUAUCCGGGAAAGCUGCAAUGGUGGCUGUACGGACUGGAAGGGUGUGCCAUGAGCAGUGUUCGGUACUUGUGUUCAGUCUUGAAAAUUAUAUAGCACAUCAGAUAAGAGAGUGUGGAAACUAUACGUAUCAAAGUUUGUUCCUACUUUUACUUUGUCCGGGUAAUAGUGGUACAGUAGUAGCAGGUUGGGGAGCGCGUGGUGAGGUGAGGCACAGUCACUGGUCCUUUGAUUAUAUUAUUCCUGGGCUGCCUCCUCGACCUUGAAAUAUAUAGAAAUCAAUGCAUAGAUGUAGUGUGUUUCACUCUACAUUUUCCCGGCAGGUUCGAUGGCACCCCGGCACCAAGUGGUCAUUGCCGCGCUGUCUGUUCAGUGCCUGUCAUAGGUUAUGCAGGAUGGCCAGUGGUGCCCUUGUUCUGUGGCAACUGCAGCUGGUGAGUUACAACUUUAUAAGUUCAAACAAACUCGGCUGACUUAAUGAGUGUGACAUGACUCUCACCCCAGACAAGCUAUAGCUGUUCCAUUGACUUACUUCCCUUAACAUGACUCCCUCCCCAUCCAAGUUAGCUGUUCCAUCAGUUACCUCAACAUGAUA
Molecule: long non-coding RNA, 3410 nt
Organism: Eriocheir sinensis (Chinese mitten crab)
Lineage: Eukaryota; Metazoa; Arthropoda; Malacostraca; Decapoda; Varunidae
Exons: 4
Source: RefSeq, a predicted model, not a curated record